This 209-nucleotide ribosomal RNA is filed under the name Trichophyton mentagrophytes. RNAcentral's name for it is "partial 28S ribosomal RNA". It matches the Rfam family "Eukaryotic large subunit ribosomal RNA", at positions 1 to 204 of the family's 3401-position model. Lineage: Eukaryota; Fungi; Ascomycota; Eurotiomycetes; Onygenales; Arthrodermataceae. The record is from RNAcentral.
GGUUGACCUCGGAUCAGGUAGGAAUACCCGCUGAACUUAAGCAUAUCAAUAAGCGGAGGAAAAGAAACCAACAGGGAUUGCCCCAGUAACGGCGAGUGAAGCGGCAAGAGCUCAAAUUUGAAAUCUGGCCUCCCCUGGGGGCCCGAGUUGUAAUUUGCAGAGGAUGCUUCGGGUGCGGCCGCCGUCUAAGUUCCUUGGAACAGGACGUC